UAUACGGCCCAGACUCCUACGGGAGGCAGCAGUGGGGAAUAUUGCACAAUGGGCGCAAGCCUGAUGCAGCGACGCCGCGUGCGGGAUGACGGCCUUCGGGUUGUAAACCGCUUUUGACUGGGAGCAAGCCCUUCGGGGUGAGUGUACCUUUCGAAUAAGCACCGGCUAACUACGUGCCAGCAGCCGCGGUAAUACGUAGGGUGCAAGCGUUAUCCGGAAUUAUUGGGCGUAAAGGGCUCGUAGGCGGUUCGUCGCGUCCGGUGUGAAAGUCCAUCGCUUAACGGUGGAUCCGCGCCGGGUACGGGCGGGCUUGAGUGCGGUAGGGGAGACUGGAAUUCCCGGUGUAACGGUGGAAUGUGUAGAUAUCGGGAAGAACACCAAUGGCGAAGGCAGGUCUCUGGGCCGUCACUGACGCUGAGGAGCGAAGCGUGGGGAGCGAACAGGAUUAGAUACCCUGGUAGUCCACGCCGUAAACGGUGGAUGCUGGAUGUGGGGACCAUUCCACGGUCUCCGUGUCGGAGCCAACGCGUUAAGCAUCCCGCCUGGGGAGUACGGCCGCAAGGCUAAAACUCAAAGAAAUUGACGGGGGCCCGCACAAGCGGCGGAGCAUGCGGAUUAAUUCGAUGCAACGCGAAGAACCUUACCUGGGCUUGACAUGUUCCCGACAGCCGUAGAGAUACGGUCUCCCUUCGGGGCGGGUUCACAGGUGGUGCAUGGUCGUCGUCAGCUCGUGUCGUGAGAUGUUGGGUUAAGUCCCGCAACGAGCGCAACCCUCGCCCUGUGUUGCCAGCACGUCGUGGUGGGAACUCACGGGGGACCGCCGGGGUCAACUCGGAGGAAGGUGGGGAUGACGUCAGAUCAUCAUGCCCCUUACGUCCAGGGCUUCACGCAUGCUACAAUGGCCGGUACAACGGGAUGCGACCUCGUGAGGGGGAGCGGAUCCCUUAAAACCGGUCUCAGUUCGGAUUGGAGUCUGCAACCCGACUCCAUGAAGGCGGAGUCGCUAGUAAUCGCGGAUCAGCAACGCCGCGGUGAAUGCGUUCCCGGGCCUUGUACACACCGCCCGUCAAGUCAUGAAAGUGGGUAGCGCCCGAAGCCGGUGGCCCAACCUUUUUGGGGGGAGCCGUCUAAGGUGAGACUCGUGAUUGGGACUAAGUCGUAACAAGGUAGCCGUACCGGAAGGCGCGGCUG
This 1191-nucleotide ribosomal RNA is filed under the name metagenome. Its description in RNAcentral is "bacterial SSU rRNA". It matches the Rfam family "Bacterial small subunit ribosomal RNA", at positions 323 to 1520 of the family's 1533-position model. The record is from RNAcentral.